This 212-nucleotide unclassified non-coding RNA is filed under the name Hevea brasiliensis (rubber tree). Lineage: Eukaryota; Viridiplantae; Streptophyta; Magnoliopsida; Malpighiales; Euphorbiaceae. The record is from RNAcentral.
CUACCGAUCUGAGAACCCAAAAGAAGAAUAAAGAAAAAGAAAAUGCAAGAACUUAAAUGAAAACAGCUCAGCUAAAUCCCAAAUAACUAAUCUAAUAAGAGGUAAAAACACACAAGCGAAAAUGUGUUAAGAUCUGGAACUAGAAAAAACAAGAAAAUGGGAUAAAAAUCUCAAUUGAAAAGAGCAUACCUAAAUGGAAGAAGAAGAAAACU